This 480-nucleotide ribosomal RNA is filed under the name uncultured bacterium. RNAcentral describes it as "partial 16S ribosomal RNA". It matches the Rfam family "Bacterial small subunit ribosomal RNA", at positions 28 to 507 of the family's 1533-position model. The record is from RNAcentral.
GAUGAACGCUAGCGGCAGGCCUAACACAUGCAAGUCGAGGGAGAGGUUACCUUCGGGUAACCAAAACCGGCGCACGGGUGCGUAACGCGUAUACAAUCUGCCUUUCACAUAGGGAUAGCCCGAAGAAAUUUGGAUUAAUACCUAAUGGUAUAUAAGAGCGGCAUCGUUUUUAUAUUAAAGCUACGGUGGUGAAAGAUGAGUAUGCGUUCUAUUAGCUAGUUGGAGAGGUAACGGCUCCCCAAGGCGACGAUAGAUAGGGGUUCUGAGAGGGAUGUCCCCCACACUGGUACUGAGAUACGGACCAGACUCCUACGGGAGGCAGCAGUGAGGAAUAUUGGACAAUGGUCGGAAGACUGAUCCAGCCAUGCCGCGUGCAGAAUGAAGGUCCUAUGGAUUGUAAGCUGCUUUUGUAAGGGAAGAAUAAGGAGUACGUGUACUUUGAUGACGGUACCUUACGAAUAAGCAUCGGCUAACUCCGUG